CAGCAGCCGCGGUAAUACGUAGGUGGCAAGCGUUGUCCGGAAUUAUUGGGCGUAAAGCGCGCGCAGGUGGUUUAAUAAGUCUGAUGUGAAGGCCCACGGCUCGACCGUGGAGGGUCAUUGGAAACUGUUAAACUUGAGUGCAGGAGAGAAAAGUGGAAUUCCUAGUGUAGCGGUGAAAUGCGUAGAGAUUAGGAGGAACACCAGUGGCGAAGGCGGCUUUUUGGCCUGUAACUGACACUGAGGCGCGAAAGCGUGGGGAGCAAACAGGAUUAGAUACCCGUGUAGUCCCUGUCUCUUAUAC
Molecule: ribosomal RNA, 301 nt
Filed under: uncultured bacterium
Lineage: Bacteria
Description: partial 16S ribosomal RNA
Rfam family: Bacterial small subunit ribosomal RNA
Source: RNAcentral